GGAGAUUCUGUAUUUAAAGAUGAAAGAUUGCGAUGAGCCUACGCUCGAUGAAGGGCCAGAGCCUGGUUCCCGAUGAGGUAUGGUGUUCGAUGGUGCUAUUAAUUAAUAUGGAAAUGGUAUUGGGGCAGUGAUUAUUACUCCUCAAGACACACAUUUCCCUUUUAAAACAAGGUUGACUUUCAAAUGCACGAAUAAUAUGGCGGAGUAUG
RNAcentral lists this long non-coding RNA (209 nucleotides) under Lathyrus oleraceus (garden pea). RNAcentral's name for it is "Pisum sativum (pea) long non-coding RNA (PSAT_LNC011014)". The record is from RNAcentral. Lineage: Eukaryota; Viridiplantae; Streptophyta; Magnoliopsida; Fabales; Fabaceae.